UUGAACGCUGGCGGCAUGCCUUACACAUGCAAGUCGAACGGCAGCACGGGAGCAAUCCUGGUGGCGAGUGGCGAACGGGUGAGUAAUAUAUCGGAACGUGCCCAAUCGUGGGGGAUAACGUAGCGAAAGUUACGCUAAUACCGCAUACGCCCUGAGGGGGAAAGUGGGGGACCGCAAGGCCUCACGCGAAUGGAGCGGCCGAUGUCAGAUUAGCUAGUUGGUGGGGUAAAGGCCCACCAAGGCGACGAUCUGUAGCGGGUCUGAGAGGAUGAUCCGCCACACUGGGACUGAGACACGGCCCAGACUCCUACGGGAGGCAGCAGUGGGGAAUUUUGGACAAUGGGCGCAAGCCUGAUCCAGCCAUGCCGCGUGCGGGACGAAGGCCUUCGGGUUGUAAACCGCUUUCAGCCGGAAAGAAAUCGCUGUUUUUAAUACGGACAGUGGAUGACGGUACCGGAAGAAGAAGCACCGGCUAACUACGU
Molecule: ribosomal RNA, 482 nt
Filed under: uncultured bacterium
Lineage: Bacteria
Description: bacterial SSU rRNA
Rfam family: Bacterial small subunit ribosomal RNA
Source: RNAcentral